AACAGGUGGGGACAGUGGAGAACAGGUGGGGGCAGAAAAUAACAGGUGGGGACAGUGGAGAACAGGUGGGGACAGUGGAGAACAGGAGGGGACAUUGGGGAACAGGUGGGCACAGUGGAGAACAGGUGGGGGCAGAAAAUAACAGGUGGGGACAGUGGAGUACAGGUGGGGACAAUGGUGAACAGGUAGGGACAGUGGGGAACAGGUGGGGACAGUGGAGAACAGGUGGGGACAGUGGAAAACAGGUGGGGAUAGUGUGGAACAGGUGGGGACAGUGGGGAACAGGUGGGGAUAGUGUGGAAGAGGUGGAGCCAGCGGGGAACAGGAGGGGAAGAGGUGGAGCCAGCGGGGAACAGGUGGGGACAGUGGGGAACAGGUGGGGACAGUGGGGAACAGGUGGGGACAGUGGGGAACAGGUGGAGACAGUGGGGAACUGGUGGGGACAGUGGGGAACAGGUGGGGAAGGGGGAACAGGUGGGGACAGUGGGGAACAGGUGGGGACAGUGGGGAACAGGUGGGGGAGUGGGG
Molecule: long non-coding RNA, 528 nt
Organism: Oncorhynchus tshawytscha (Chinook salmon)
Lineage: Eukaryota; Metazoa; Chordata; Actinopteri; Salmoniformes; Salmonidae
Source: Ensembl